Molecule: non-coding RNA, 2181 nt
Organism: Camelina sativa (false flax)
Lineage: Eukaryota; Viridiplantae; Streptophyta; Magnoliopsida; Brassicales; Brassicaceae
Source: RefSeq, a predicted model, not a curated record
UCCAACAACAAACAAAACACUCAUCGACAUCUCCGACAACCAUCAUCUAUCUGUUCGGGAAGCUAAUCCCCACCGGAUCAGCCAUCCCCUCCGGCUAACAUCUCUGUUCUCGCCGGCAACCAAUUUUUAAAAUUUUUAUUUUCUUUCUUUCACCGAGAUCUCUCGUUGGAGCUUCUUAUUUACCCAUGAUAUAGACGGAAUCGGAGGUUAAACCCGGUCAUGUUCUCCGGCAAAGCCAAGCUUCAGCUUCCACCUGAUUCACGGCGGAUUCUCCGUGCUGUUCCGUUCAGCUCAGCUAUCCGUCGUUUGCAGCUAGGAGCUGGUACUUCCUUGCCUGCUUUAGUAGCUGCACAGGUCGGGGCUAAUGUCAAUCUUACUGAUGAUGCAACUAAACCUGAGGUUUUGGAAAAUAUGAGAAGACUCUGUCAACUUAACAACCUCAACUGUAAUGUAAUGUUAAUCGGCGUGAUAAAUGUGAAGUAAUGAAGCAAGGUAAUUCAUCUGCUCCUGUUUGUUUAUUGUUUUGAAGUAUAUUGAUGUGAAUGUGGAUGUCGAUGUGUGAUGUUCAGAAGUAGCUUUUGAUUUGGGAAUCAAUUUAGUUUGAAGUAGGUUUUGAUUUGGGAACCGAUUUACUUUGAAUGUUCCUGAUAAAUGCUUGUUAGAAUGACAUGUUGUCAAAUGUUUGAAUGAUGUCUGUUUUUCUUUUUUUCAGUUUGAUUGUGUUUCUCUUGUUUUAUUAACGUUUGUAUUGUGUUGUUCGAUCAAUUUCUGUUAUGUUAUGUUAUUCUAUAUAUAUAUAUAUAUAUAUAUAUAUAUAUAUGUGUGUGUGUGUGUGUGUGUUGAUAUAGACGGAAUUGGAGGUUAAAUCCUCCGGCAAAAAGCCAAGCUUCAGCUUCCACCUGAUUCACGGCGGCUUCUCAUUCAUGGCUCUUCUCCGUGCUGUUCCGUUCAGUAAGGCCAUGAGUUUCAUCUCUUCUCCAGUGAAUCCGACCAAAGCUUCCUUUGAAAUCCCAGGUACAUCUAAUCUCUCUCUCUCUCUCUCUCUCUCUCUACACUUAGGACAAUGAUUAUUAUGUACAUGACAAUAUGACAUUACUCCUCCUCCGUACACAAUCAGCACUAAGAAUCGAACAACCACCAAAUCAGCCUUUUCUCUUAACGUCUUCGUUUUGCUUUCUCUCUAUUUAGACAAAAAUAAAAUAAUUUAAAGUAUUGCACAUACACACAUGAGUCCUCCUUACACAAUCAGCACUAGGAUCGAACAACGACAAAAGCAAGCUAAGACCAAACAAUUAGUUUUGGAUUUGAGUCCUUAAACUUGCGUGCUACCAUAAACCACUUGUUGUAAUUACUAGGUAUGGUAAAAAGAAAGAAAGAAAAAAGUAAGUCUCUAUACGCACACAUGAGUGGUCGAUUACUCAAUCUCCAACAGAAGAAUAAAAGCUAGAGAGCAAAUGUUGAAACGCUGCAUCUUGCCAAGCCACUUUUUUUGUUUUACCAAUCUGUAAAGGUAAAAUGCACCACACGUAGACACGGUUACUCAAUGUGGGUUACUCAUUGUGGGAGAGAGUAUGAGUAUGAUAGGUGACAUAAAAAAAUAACAAGAAGAAGAGUCACGCAAGGAAAGCAGAGAGAUGCAUCAUCUCUCGGCUAUAAAAACAGAGUCUGGGGUAACUCAAAACAUCAUAGCGAGAGAGAGCAAGAGCAAGCGAGAGAGAUUCAAAUAUCAAAAGGAAAACUUAGAUAUUCUUUCAAAAAAAAAAAAUGGGGAUCGUUGCAUUCGAGUGGAAUGAGAGAGGCAACAACCAACUGCUGCUGCUGAUGAACAGGGACAAUUGGUAUUCCAGGGCCAUAAGAAAGGUGGCUUGGAAUGGCUCUGAUGAGAACUUGAGUGGCCGUUGUGAAGCCAACCCUAAUUUGUUUUGGCUGGGUGUUUCAAAGCGAGGCCGAGUCGCAUUUCUCGUCAGUUCUACGUUAAUGCUUGACCAAAUUGAUGGAAUCACAGGACCCGAUAGUUAUCCAGAUUUUUUCCUACGUGUAGGUUUUUAUAUUUAUUUUUAUAUUUACUAGGAAAGCGACCCGUGCGUUGCCGCACGGGGAGGUGAAAUCCUAAAUUGAAAUUUAACAUUUGUAAUUCAUCCUAAAUUCUUUCUUUUCUCAAUCAAUUUGAUCAUUUUUAUU